GUCUGCUCCUACCUAUUGGAGGAAUCUACAAAGAAUGAAGCUUUUGAUUCACUGACUUGGGGAAGUGAGAACUCUCCUGCUGGCCACAGCCCCUGGAAUUCUUCACCAGGUCUCGCUGGCCCAUGCCAAGGACAUGGGGGAAGCUCAGGGAGGUCUGCCUGUCUCUCUGGGAGGCAGCUCCCCCUGCACUGGAGACCCAGGCCCUUGAGCAGUGCCCCGUGAACCCAUUCUCCCAUACCUGAGCUGGAGAUGGUGGCGAAUCCCCCGGUGUCCCCGAUGAGUCCCAGGCCACAGACACAACCCCCCACUCCGACCUCUCGGCUUCAGCACGGACAACCACCGCAGAGUGGCUACACCCUGCGAGGUGGCCACCGGAUCCAGUCCAGAGCACAGGAAGAAACCGUGCAUUGUUUCCCGUCUGGCAGAGCAACGUGACUGGAGAGAGAGCACUUCCCACAGAGUGGUUUCCCGGCUUUUACAACCUUCCCCUUUGUGUGUUGACAUUCUGUUUUAUUUUAAACUUUUCAGGUGUGAGGAACUCACCCCUAUUUUGUUUUUCACUUUUAAGUGAAUGGAUAGUGUGCUAAUCACAACAGUUCCUGUUUGACAAAUACUAGAACAUCUAUGCUGCAAACAUAUUAUUUAGUCAAGGUAGCAUCUUCCUUUCCUUUCCAGAUUUUUAUUUCUUAAAAUACAGUUUAAAUCACACA
This is a long non-coding RNA of Neofelis nebulosa (Clouded leopard), 710 nucleotides long. RefSeq lists it as uncharacterized. The record is from RefSeq and is a predicted model, not a curated record. NCBI's taxonomy places the organism in Eukaryota, Metazoa, Chordata, Mammalia, Carnivora, Felidae. The transcript has 3 exons.